GGUUAAGUGACUAAGCGUACACGGUGGAUGCCUGGGCAGUCAGAGGCGAUGAAGGACGUACUAACUUGCGAUAAGCGCAGAUAAGGCAGUAAGAGCCGUUUGAGUCUGCGAUUUCCGAAUGGGGAAACCCAACUGCAUAAGCAGUUACUGUUAACUGAAUACAUAGGUUAACAGAGCAAACCGGGGGAACUGAAACAUCUAAGUACCCCGAGGAGAAGAAAUCAACCGAGAUUCCGGUAGUAGCGGCGAGCGAACCUGGAUUAGCCCUUAAGCACUCGGUGAAGUAGGUGAACAAGCUGGAAAGCUUGGCGAUACAGGGUGAUAGCCCCGUAACCGACGCUUCAUCGAGCGUGAAAUCGAGUAGGGCGGGACACGUGAUAUCCUGUCUGAAUAUGGGGGGACCAUCCUCCAAGGCUAAAUACUCCUGACUGACCGAUAGUGAACCAGUACCGUGAGGGAAAGGCGAAAAGAACCCCUGUGAGGGGAGUGAAAUAGAACCUGAAACCGUGUACGUACAAGCAGUAGGAGCACCUUCGUGGUGUGACUGCGUACCUUUUGUAUAAUGGGUCAGCGACUUAUAUUCAGUGGCAAGGUUAACCGUAUAGGGGAGCCGUAGCGAAAGCGAGUCUUAACUGGGCGCUCAGUCUCUGGAUAUAGACCCGAAACCGGGUGAUCUAGCCAUGGGCAGGUUGAAGGUUGAGUAACAUCAACUGGAGGACCGAACCGACUAAUGUUGAAAAAUUAGCGGAUGACUUGUGGCUAGGGGUGAAAGGCCAAUCAAACUCGGAGAUAGCUGGUUCUCCCCGAAAGCUAUUUAGGUAGCGCCUCGGACGAAUACUACUGGGGGUAGAGCACUGUUAAGGCUAGGGGGUCAUCCCGACUUACCAACCCUUUGCAAACUCCGAAUACCAGUAAGUACUAUCCGGGAGACACACGGCGGGUGCUAACGUCCGUCGUGGAGAGGGAAACAACCCAGACCGCCAGCUAAGGUCCCAAAGUAUUGCUAAGUGGGAAACGAUGUGGGAAGGCUCAGACAGCUAGGAUGUUGGCUUAGAAGCAGCCAUCAUUUAAAGAAAGCGUAAUAGCUCACUAGUCGAGUCGGCCUGCGCGGAAGAUGUAACGGGGCUAAGCAAUACACCGAAGCUGCGGCAAUGUCUUUUAGAUAUUGGGUAGGGGAGCGUUCUGUAAGCCGUUGAAGGUGAAUCGUAAGGUUUGCUGGAGGUAUCAGAAGUGCGAAUGCUGACAUGAGUAACGACAAAGGGGGUGAAAAACCUCCUCGCCGGAAGACCAAGGGUUCCUGUCCAACGUUAAUCGGGGCAGGGUGAGUCGACCCCUAAGGUGAGGCCGAAAGGCGUAAUCGAUGGGAAACGGGUUAAUAUUCCCGUACUUCUGACUAUUGCGAUGGGGGGACGGAGAAGGCUAGGUGGGCCAGGCGACGGUUGUCCUGGUUCAAGUGCGUAGGCUUGAGAGUUAGG
RNAcentral lists this ribosomal RNA (1475 nucleotides) under Vibrio cholerae. Its description in RNAcentral is "partial 23S ribosomal RNA". It matches the Rfam family "Bacterial large subunit ribosomal RNA", at positions 1 to 1536 of the family's 2925-position model. Lineage: Bacteria; Pseudomonadati; Pseudomonadota; Gammaproteobacteria; Vibrionales; Vibrionaceae. The record is from RNAcentral.